Molecule: long non-coding RNA, 383 nt
Filed under: Elaeis guineensis (African oil palm)
Lineage: Eukaryota; Viridiplantae; Streptophyta; Magnoliopsida; Arecales; Arecaceae
Description: long non-coding RNA (EGUI_LNC050420)
Source: RNAcentral
UAUAGUAUCUGUCCAGUUGACAUGAUACUCUAUCGAAUCUCCUUGAUGGUUUCUCUACAAUAGAUUUUGGGUUUGACAUCAUCACAUCUAGUUUUGUGGGUUCAUUAGACUGUGUCUAGUCUAUCUAUUGAACUUCAUCAAGUUCAACUUUAGAGGCAUUAAUCUCUUCUCCAAAAAAUUUUUUUUCUAAAAUGACUGUCCUAAGGCUGACAAACACUUUUUGUUCAUCAGUAAGGUAGAAAUAAUACCUCUUAGUUUCUUUGGAAUAUCCUAUAAAAUUAUAUCUAUCAGGUCUGACUCCAAGUUUAUCUGUUUUCAAACAUUUAAUAUAAGCCGGACAUUACCAAAUCUUAAGGUGAGAGAGCCCUAGCUUAUGUCCCGUC